AUGCUGCGCCGGGUAGUUCACCGGCGAACGGCGGCGAUGGCGGUCCGACCCUGGAAGGGGCCCUUGCCAAAGGUAUGUCUUCCCAACUUGACUCUUUUUGAUAUGAUUCGGCCGGAUUCGUGGACUUUGGUGAAGAGAAGAAAAAAUGCUCGCCGGAAAGGUUCUCGAUCGGCGCCGGAGGUGACCGCGGCAGCGCUGCCGGCGGUCACGGCGAUCCAGAUCAGAGACGCUCGCCAGGAGCGUUUGAAUUGGCUCCCGGGCCGAGCCGAGCCGCGAGUUGUUGUUGGGCCGAUUGGUAAUAUUGGGCCAGGGUCCGGUGGGUAUGAGGCCCAGCCAGAACCGGUUCAGAUUGACACAGUGGGGACGGGCGCAUGCAGAACGUCACGAUCGUUGUCGCCUCCUGUAGCGCCGUCUAGGGUUCUGUGGCGUCGUUCACCGCGUCUGCGUACUACGGGGCCUGGCCGGGCUCGCCGCAUCCUUCCUCUCGGCACGAUGGCAGGACGUGGUGGUGCGCCUCCUCCUGGAAAGAGGCCGGCUCCGCCUAGCGGGGCGUGCCGUGCCGGUGGGGCGCCGCCGCCGGGUCAGCGUGCCGGUGGGGUGCCGACGUCUGGUGUUGGGCGUGGCGGCGUGGCGCCCCCUUUGGCUGCUGCGGGUCGCGGGUCUGGUGCCCCCAGUGCGGUGCCCAAUGCUCGCGGGGUGCCCGCAGGGAGGCCGCCGGCGCUGGUCUUGCCUUCGGGCGGGCGAGGCGGGCCGGUCAACAGUCCUCGGCCGGUGGUGAGCGGCGGUGCUGCGGUGGCCGCUGCGGGUUGGGGGGCUGCGCCACCCAGGCCGCCUGUGCCACCUCCGCCGUCGCAGACCAACGCCGUUGGUGGUUCUGUGGCUGCGCCCCGGGGUCAAUGGGGAGACGAUGGCUACGAUGCCUAUGGGGCGGGUCAGCACCGUGGCUCUUCGUCCACGGGUGGAGGUCAUGGUUAUGCUUGGCAGAGCGAUGGCUCGGCUAAGAGGCCAUUAUUGGGUCCUUCCUGUGGCUUCAUUGAAUGGGCAUCUGGUCCGGAUCAUCGGCAGCGGGGAGGUUUCCGUGGCCAUCGGGGUGGUCGAGGUGGUCGAGGGGGCCGGUACCGUCCAUGA
This 1128-nucleotide ribosomal RNA is filed under the name Triticum aestivum (bread wheat). RNAcentral describes it as "partial small subunit ribosomal RNA". Lineage: Eukaryota; Viridiplantae; Streptophyta; Magnoliopsida; Poales; Poaceae. The record is from RNAcentral.